Cynocephalus volans (Philippine flying lemur) is the source of this 1125-nucleotide long non-coding RNA. RefSeq lists it as uncharacterized. NCBI's taxonomy places the organism in Eukaryota, Metazoa, Chordata, Mammalia, Dermoptera, Cynocephalidae. The record is from RefSeq and is a predicted model, not a curated record. The transcript is spliced from 4 exons.
GCCAGUUACAGGCACGGGGCCCUCGCCAGGCGGGAAGGGAGCUAGAGGACGAGGCUGGGCUGGGCUCAGAACGGGCGCGGGCACGGUGGAGCGGACACAGGCAGUAAAUAAGAACUGCUCAUGUGGGCAUAUAAAUAGAAGCUCUCGGGAAGGCUGUGAGGGAAAGGGACAGAGGGCACCUACUGUAGCCAGGGAAGGGCUGAGGCUGGGACACUUUGGCUCGGGAAGGCUGGGAAGGAUUUGACUUUCCCUUCCUAGGAAUUAUACCUUUCUCCACCUCCACACGAGCCCCGAGGGUGGCCUGACUGGUGUUCUCUGGGUACAAAAGAGGUACCCAGCUGACGUUCCUUAUGUGUGCUCACCAGAACAAAUCUCACCCCCUCCCUCCCUGAAGAAGCCAUCCUCCCUUGCUGAAACAAUCCACUAUCCUCAGCUGGAGGAAGACAAGAUGAGUUGACUGAAAUGUUUUUGGAGAGCCCACAAAGGUCUCAGUUCUCUCCGUUCCUGGGCCUUCUGAGGGUCAGUCUCUGAUGUGGGACAUGGAUACAGCCACCCCUCCCAGGCAGCUGGCAGCAAAACAUGAGAGGAGAACAGCAGAGAGGAAGAAGCCACGCAGAGCCUGGAGUGUGGUGUUUGAGAGAGCAGACAGGUCAGCCAAAGCUGCACCUUGUAUAACAUGACCCACCUCUUCAUGAGAGAGGAUGCUGCUGCUUCGGUACCGCACAAACUGGCCCAGGGAGAAAAGCCCCAGACACGCAAUGUUUUGGUAUCUCCUUCAUUCACAGACAUUUCCCAUGCCCUUACUGUGCUCAGUACUGGGCUAGGGACACUGUUCUGAAGCCCAGAGAAAUCUGCCUUCAAGGAGCUGAGUUGGAGGGUACCACCAUGUGCUCUGGUACCUGCUAUUCUCCCUUCACGACCUGGAAUAUCUUUCCUCCUCUCUGCCUAUUAAUCCUUCAUGCCUCAGCUGAAAUGUUACCUUCACAGCUAAGAAGCAAUUACUUUUUCUCUCUGUUCCCACACCAACCACUGAAUUUGUUACCCACUUCACUAUCAUUCAUAAACUCACUGCUUUUUUAUUUACUGAAUGGGCUCUUACUGUGUACCAAGCACUUAGCACCUCCU